CAUUAAGUUGGGCACUCUAAGUUGACUGCCGGUGACAAACCGGAGGAAGGUGGGGAUGACGUCAAAUCAUCAUGCCCCUUAUGAUUUGGGCUACACACGUGCUACAAUGGACAAUACAAAGGGCAGCGAAACCGCGAGGUCAAGCAAAUCCCAUAAAGUUGUUCUCAGUUCGGAUUGUAGUCUGCAACUCGACUACAUGAAGCUGGAAUCGCUAGUAAUCGUAGAUCAGCAUGCUACGGUGAAUACGUUCCCGGGUCUUGUACACACCGCCCGUCACACCACGAGAGUUUGUAACACCCGAAGCCGGUGGAGUAACCUUUUAGGAGCUAGCCGUCGAAGGUGGGACAAAUGAUUGGGGUGAAGUCGUAACAAGGUAGCCGUAUCGGAAGGUGCGGCUGGAUCACCUCCUUUCUA
This 414-nucleotide ribosomal RNA is filed under the name Staphylococcus aureus. RNAcentral describes it as "bacterial SSU rRNA". It matches the Rfam family "Bacterial small subunit ribosomal RNA", at positions 1122 to 1533 of the family's 1533-position model. The record is from RNAcentral. Lineage: Bacteria; Bacillati; Bacillota; Bacilli; Caryophanales; Staphylococcaceae.